RNAcentral lists this ribosomal RNA (541 nucleotides) under uncultured Sphingobacteriales bacterium. Its description in RNAcentral is "bacterial SSU rRNA". It matches the Rfam family "Bacterial small subunit ribosomal RNA", at positions 355 to 897 of the family's 1533-position model. Lineage: Bacteria; Pseudomonadati; Bacteroidota; Sphingobacteriia; Sphingobacteriales. The record is from RNAcentral.
UAGGGAAUAUUGGGCAAUGGGCGAGAGCCUGACCCAGCCAUGCCGCGUGAAGGAAGAAGGCCUUCUGGGUUGUAAACUUCUUUUGAUCGGGAACAAAGACUCCUUGCGAGGAGAGUUGAGUGUACCGAUAGAAUAAGCACCGGCUAACUCCGUGCCAGCAGCCGCGGUAAUACGGAGGGUGCAAGCGUUGUCCGGAUUUAUUGGGUUUAAGGGGUGCGUAGGCGGCUUCUUAAGUCAGUGGUGAAAGCCAACAGCUCAACUGUUGAACUGCCAUUGAUACUGGGAAGCUUGAGUAUAGACGAGGUAGGCGGAAUUGACGGUGUAGCGGUGAAAUGCAUAGAUAUCGUCAAGAACACUGAUUGCGAAGGCAGCUUACUAGACUAUAACUGACGCUGAGGCACGAAAGUGUGGGGAUCAAACAGGAUUAGAUACCCUGGUAGUCCACACUGUAAACGAUGAUCACUCGAUGUGUGCGAUAUACAGUACGCGUCCAAGCUAAAGCGUUAAGUGAUCCACCUGGGGAGUACGGUCGCAAGACUGA